UAGAGUUUGAUCCUGGCUCAGGAUGAACGCUAACUACGGGCUUAACACAUGCAAGUCGAACGGAUUCUGGAUUCGUCUGGAAUUAGUGGCAAACGGGUGAGUAACACGUAUCCAACCACCCUGCGACUCGGGGAUAGCCUCUUGAAAGGGAGAUUAAUAUCCGAUGUACUGUUUUUGGUGCAUGCCAUUUUCAGUAAAGUUUUUUACGGUCGCUGACGGGGAUGCGUUCCAUUAGAUAGUCGGUGUGGUAACGGCUCACCGAGUCUAUGAUGGAUAGGGGUUCUGAGAGGAAGGUCCCCCACAUUGGAACUGCGACACGGUCCAAACUCCUACGGGAGGCAGCAGUGAGGAAUAUUGGUCAAUGGGCGAAAGCCUGAACCAGCUAUGUAGCGUGAAGGAUGACUGCCCUAUGGGUUGUAAACUUCUUUUGUUCGGGAAUAACAGACUUCACUUGUGGAGUUUUGCAUGUACCGUUCGAAUAAGGAUCGGCUAACUCCGUGCCAGCAGCCGCGGUAAUACGGAGGAUCCUAGCGUUAUUCGGAUUUAUUGGGUUUAAAGGGAGCGUAGGCGGGGGGUCAAGUCAGCUGUGAAAUACGUACGCUUAACGUUCGUCUUGCAGUUGAAACUGGUUUUCUUGAGUGCGUAUGAGGCAGGCGGAAUUCGUGGUGUAGCGGUGAAAUGCUUAGAUAUCACGAGGAACUCCUAUUGCGAAGGCAGCUUGCUGGUCCGCUACUGACGCUGAUGCUCGAAGGUGCGGGUAUCGAACAGGAUUAGAUACCCUGGUAGUCCGCACAGUAAACUAU
This 803-nucleotide ribosomal RNA is filed under the name uncultured bacterium. RNAcentral's name for it is "bacterial SSU rRNA". It matches the Rfam family "Bacterial small subunit ribosomal RNA", at positions 1 to 810 of the family's 1533-position model. The record is from RNAcentral.